GCGCACUUAACCACUGUGCCACUGGGCUGGCCCCAAUAUAUCUCCAAUUUUAAAAAUAGAGAUAUAAAAAAAGCCCCACAGCUUCUGGCACAUCCUAAGUAUUUAAUACUUUGAAGCUAUUAUUAUUAGAGAGAUGUGAAGGUGAUGUGUCCAUUUUAUUUGACAUGUAUUAAUCCUGUUUAACAAAUAGCACUUACUGUAGUCCUCAGAACAAUUCUAUGAAGUAGGUACCCUUAUCCUCCACAUUUGACAGAUGGAGGAAACAAAGGCUCAGAGAAGGUACAUUUCCUUCCCAGAGUUGCACAGCAUGUAAAUCGCAAGUGCACAAAGGUUGCAAAGGCUGGAAGUGCUGGGGCAAAACCCCGGCCACAUGGUCCCAGAACCCCUCACUUAACCACCACCUUGCGAGGCCACUUCAUUACUGAUUGCCGCCUGAAGAGAACGUCCCUUCGAGGCUCAGAGCUGUGCUGAUUUCUGGUUUUCCUUGUCUUCUGCAAUUCCUUUGAUGAAUGAGCUCCCGGG
This is a long non-coding RNA of Equus quagga, 522 nucleotides long. RefSeq lists it as uncharacterized. The record is from RefSeq and is a predicted model, not a curated record. The transcript is spliced from 2 exons. NCBI's taxonomy places the organism in Eukaryota, Metazoa, Chordata, Mammalia, Perissodactyla, Equidae.